Long non-coding RNA from Bactrocera neohumeralis, 1472 nucleotides. RefSeq lists it as uncharacterized. The record is from RefSeq and is a predicted model, not a curated record. NCBI's taxonomy places the organism in Eukaryota, Metazoa, Arthropoda, Insecta, Diptera, Tephritidae. The transcript has 4 exons.
UCGCUUCGUACAGUUUCGGUAGUUUACUACGUACAUACAUAUGUAUUUUAAUAUUUCACAGACUUGGCUUGCAGUCUGUCGCGCUCUAGGUGUUCCGGGCGUCACUGCCACAGAGUUGCAAAUAGUAAUUCCACAAAAGGGUUAAGGUUUGACAACACUUUGAUAACAUACAAGCAACACCCGUACUGCUGUAAAUAAAUUUAGAGCGAUAUGUUUUAAUUAUUUUUAACAAAUUGAAUACAAAGCAGAGGUGUACUGUUAUGAGCAAUUUUUUUGCCAAAAGCUUGAAUAAGUAUAUUGAAUCUUUAUUGGUCAAUCCAACGCAAGUUAAUAACUUACAAUUCAACUUUUACAAUGUUCAAAAAUUCUGUGUGUAAAACUUUACAGGAGUAUAUCUGUGUAAAAUCUCAUCUGUCGCGAGAAUGGCUGUUUUCACUUCAAAAAUUAAUUAUUUCUUCAGCAGUAGUCAAGUAAUUUUGACAGCUGGUUACGCAUUAUCAAUGAUCCUCAUUAGAAGAGCAAGAGAAAACAAAUAAACAAAGAAAACACAAGAAUGAUAGAGAAAGAGAUUACGCAGUGCGCAUGUUUGCUUUCAGUCAGCUGUUUUUGCUUACGUCACGGUUGACGUUUUAUUCGUCCGCGCCUAUGAAUGUGAAUUCGAAUUAUAUUUUCAAGUGAAGUAUUGACUGUGAAAUUCUAUAUUUUUUGAAAUGCGAUGCGCAGUUUGGUUGUAAUAAUAACAAUGGUAAAAAUAGUGCUACGAAGUGGAGAUUUUUCCAUUUCCCUAAGGAUAAAACAGUACUAAAACACUGGAUUCAUUUAUGUCGUCGGACGGACAAAAUUAACGUGCAUUUGUGAAGUGCACUUCGCGCCAGAAGCCUUCGAAAGAAAUUUGCAGUUUGAAAUGGUUUAAGUUCGCGGAAUCCAACGAAGUUGAUACCUAGCGCUUUUCCGAUGUUAACCACUGCUCCUGCAGAGGGUAAAGAACGGCAGAAAAGGAUGGAGUCUCGUUCCAAAAAAGGGUUGUUGACAACAAUCUUGAAGAAUACCGCCCCUGUUGAUGUAAAUCAAAAAUACGAGUUUGCAGAGGCCCCUCAAACUGCAAGAGAGGAUGUCAUCCAUGAGAAAGACGAAAAAAUACUGCAUUUGCAAACAGAAAUACAAAGGCAAAAAUGAGCAGUUAGCGAAAUUAAACGCCUUAAGAUUUCCAUUAAACCCGCGGAAUUCCAUAGAAAUAAUGUGGAGCAAAAACUUAGCUGCAUUUUCACCAACAGCCAGAUUGAAGAAUUUAGAGACGGAAACAAAUGGCGCGAUUGGGAAGAAGAAGACAUAGCUAAGUCGAUCAUGCUAUAUUCAACGCGCCCGAAAGCGUACAAGCUCUUAAGGAGAAACAACUUUCCUAUUCCAGGUGUGCGCACUCUGCAAUGAUGGUCGAAGAAAAUUGAUAUAGCUUCAGGUGUCAAACACAGCAA